AGCAAAUACAGCUGAGCAGCAUCC
RNAcentral lists this non-coding RNA (24 nucleotides) under Arabidopsis thaliana (thale cress). Lineage: Eukaryota; Viridiplantae; Streptophyta; Magnoliopsida; Brassicales; Brassicaceae. The record is from RNAcentral.